RNAcentral lists this ribosomal RNA (303 nucleotides) under uncultured bacterium. RNAcentral's name for it is "partial 16S ribosomal RNA". It matches the Rfam family "Bacterial small subunit ribosomal RNA", at positions 507 to 807 of the family's 1533-position model. The record is from RNAcentral.
AGCAGCCGCCGCGGUAAUACGGAGGGUGCAAGCGUUAAUCGGAAUUACUGGGCGUAAAGCGCACGCAGGCGGUCUGACAAGUCAGAUGUGAAAUCCCCGGGCUUAACCUGGGAACUGCAUUUGAAACUGUCAGGCUGGAGUCUUGUAGAGGGGGGUGGAAUUCCAGGUGUAGCGGUGAAAUGCGUAGAGAUCUGGAGGAAUACCGGUGGCGAAGGCGGCCCCCUGGACAAAGACUGACGCUCAGGUGCGAAAGCGUGGGGAGCAAACAGGAUUAGAGACCCGCGUAGUCCCUGUCUCUUAUAC